GCUUUUAUAAUUUAAUGAAAAUAUUGGUCUUGUAAACCAAUCUUAAGGUUUACCUUUAUAAGCU
RNAcentral lists this transfer RNA (64 nucleotides) under Nauphoeta cinerea (gray cockroach). Its description in RNAcentral is "tRNA-Thr". It matches the Rfam family "tRNA". From Rfam's summary of the family: Transfer RNA (tRNA) molecules are approximately 80 nucleotides in length. The record is from RNAcentral. Lineage: Eukaryota; Metazoa; Arthropoda; Insecta; Blattodea; Blaberidae.